This 205-nucleotide long non-coding RNA is filed under the name Elaeis guineensis (African oil palm). Its description in RNAcentral is "long non-coding RNA (EGUI_LNC015172)". Lineage: Eukaryota; Viridiplantae; Streptophyta; Magnoliopsida; Arecales; Arecaceae. The record is from RNAcentral.
GCGACAGGGAGUUGGCUGUAACAAAUUGAUGUGUCAGGAGAGAGAAAAUAGAGCCAACCAUGCUGUGAACUAGAGCUCAACACUCGACUGGAUCGAUGAGGCAAUCUUCCUGCCGAGAAGACGUUCCUCCCCCACCUCCGAUGGCAGAGUCCAAUUUCUCGCAUACUGUGGUCACCACGAAUGCACAGAUUGCUGCACUCAUACA